This 132-nucleotide non-coding RNA is filed under the name Elusimicrobiota bacterium. Lineage: Bacteria; Pseudomonadati; Elusimicrobiota. The record is from RNAcentral.
UUAUGGCUUUAGGCCUCCGGUAUAUGGCAUAAUCUAACUAUAGCGCAGAAGGAACGGGGUGAGAAUCCCCGGCUGCCCCGCAACGGUAAUGCCGCAAGGCUUAGCCCGGUCUACUGCAACCCCCGCCGCUCC